UCACCAGACUCCUACGGGAGGCAGCAGUGGGGAAUAUUGCACAAUGGGCGCAAGCCUGAUGCAGCCAUGCCGCGUGUAUGAAGAAGGCCUUCGGGUUGUAAAGUACUUUCAGCGGGGAGGAAGGGAGUAAAGUUAAUACCUUUGCUCAUUGACGUUACCCGCAGAAGAAGCACCGGCUAACUCCGUGCCAGCAGCCGCGGUAAUACGGGGGAUGCAAGCGUUGUCCGGAAUCAUUGGGCGUAAAGAGUUCGUAGGUGGCACGUUAAGUCUGGUGUUAAAUGCAGAGGCUCAACCUCUGUUCGGCACUGGAUACUGGCGAGCUUGAAUGCGGUAGAGGUAAAGGGAAUUCCUGGUGUAGCGGUGAAAUGCGUAGAUAUCAGGAGGAACAUCGGUGGCGUAAGCGCUUUACUGGGCCGUAAUUGACACUGAGGAACGAAAGCCAGGGUAGCAAAUGGGAUUAGAUACCCCCGUAC
This 473-nucleotide ribosomal RNA is filed under the name uncultured bacterium. RNAcentral's name for it is "bacterial SSU rRNA". It matches the Rfam family "Bacterial small subunit ribosomal RNA", at positions 328 to 793 of the family's 1533-position model. The record is from RNAcentral.